Molecule: ribosomal RNA, 377 nt
Filed under: uncultured Alphaproteobacteria bacterium
Lineage: Bacteria; Pseudomonadati; Pseudomonadota; Alphaproteobacteria
Description: bacterial SSU rRNA
Rfam family: Bacterial small subunit ribosomal RNA
Source: RNAcentral
AUCCCUUGACAUGUCGUGCCAUCCGGAGAGAUCCGGGGUUCCCUUCGGGGACGCGAACACAGGUGCUGCAUGGCUGUCGUCAGCUCGUGUCGUGAGAUGUUGGGUUAAGUCCCGCAACGAGCGCAACCCACGUCCUUAGUUGCCAUCAUUCAGUUGGGCACUCUAGGGAGACUGCCGGUGAUAAGCCGCGAGGAAGGUGUGGAUGACGUCAAGUCCUCAUGGCCCUUACGGGAUGGGCUACACACGUGCUACAAUGGCGGUGACAGUGGGACGCGAAACCGCGAGGUUGAGCAAAUCCCCAAAAACCGUCUCAGUUCAGAUUGCACUCUGCAACUCGAGUGCAUGAAGGCGGAAUCGCUAGUAAUCGUGGAUCAGCA